AUUGAACGCUGGCGGCAGGCCUAACACAUGCAAGUCGAGCGGAUGAAGGGAGCUUGCUCCUGGAUUCAGCGGCGGACGGGUGAGUAAUGCCUAGAAAUCUGCCUGGUAGUGGGGGAUAACGUCCGGAAACGGGCGCUAAUACCGCCUACGUCCUGAGGGAGAAAGUGGGGGAUCUUCGGACCUCACGCUAUCAGAUGAGCCUAGGUCGGAUUAGCUAGUUGGUGGGGUAAAGGCCUACCAAGGCGACGAUCCGUAAAUGGUCUGAGAGGAUGAUCAGUCACACUGGAACGGAGACACGGUCCAGACUCCUACGGGAGGCAGCAGUGGGGAAUAUUGGACAAUGGGCGAAAGCCUGAUCCAGCCAUGCCGCGUGUGUGAAGAAGGUCUUCGGAGUGUAAAGCACGUUAAGUUGGGAGGAAGGGCAGUAAGUUAAUACCUUGCUGUUUUGACGUUACCAACAGAAUAAGCACCGGCUAACUUCGUG
This 484-nucleotide ribosomal RNA is filed under the name uncultured bacterium. Its description in RNAcentral is "partial 16S ribosomal RNA". It matches the Rfam family "Bacterial small subunit ribosomal RNA", at positions 30 to 507 of the family's 1533-position model. The record is from RNAcentral.